Molecule: ribosomal RNA, 310 nt
Filed under: uncultured Glomeromycotina
Lineage: Eukaryota; Fungi; Glomeromycota
Description: LSU rRNA
Source: RNAcentral
UUGAAAGGGAAACGAUUGAAGUCAGUCAUGCUGGUGGGAAUCAACUUAGGGGAAACUCUGGGUGCACUUCUUCGCUUGGCAGGUCAACGUCGAUUUUGAAUGUCAUAAAAUAAUUGGGGAAGGUAGCUCCUUCGGGAGUGUUAUAGCCCUUGAUAGAUGUGAUGUUUGAGGUCGAGGAUUGCAACGGAUACCUUUGGGGCUAGCUGCCUGAUCUCUAAUUGGUGUUGGGUUACGGAUAGCAUGCUGACCGUGAUCUAAUUACUGGUUAAAAGGUUAGAGUAUGCAUAAAUUCGUUAAGGAUGUUGACGUA